CCUACGGGGGGCAGCAGUGAGGAAUAUUGGUCAAUGGGCUUACGCCUGAACCAGCCAAGUCGCGUGAGGGAAGACUGCCCUAUGGGUUGUAAACCUCUUUUGUCAGGGAGCAAUUGGCGCUACGUGUAGCGUUACCGAGAGUACCUGAAGAAAAAGCAUCGGCUAACUCCGUGCCAGCAGCCGCGGUAAUACGGAGGAUGCGAGCGUUAUCCGGAUUGAUUGGGUUUAAAGGGUGCGUAGGCGGAAUGCCAAGUCAGCGGUAAAAUCGCGGGGCUCAACCUCGCUCCGCCGUUGAAACUGGCGUUCUUGAGUGGGCGAGAAGUAUGCGGAAUGCGUGGUGUAGCGGUGAAAUGCAUAGAUAUCACGCAGAACUCCGAUUGCGAAGGCAGCAUACCGGCGCCCAACUGACGCUGAAGCACGAAAGCGUGGGUAUCGAACAGGAUUAGAUACCCGGGUAGUC
RNAcentral lists this ribosomal RNA (460 nucleotides) under uncultured bacterium. RNAcentral's name for it is "partial 16S ribosomal RNA". It matches the Rfam family "Bacterial small subunit ribosomal RNA", at positions 338 to 795 of the family's 1533-position model. The record is from RNAcentral.